Thalassophryne amazonica is the source of this 213-nucleotide long non-coding RNA. RefSeq lists it as uncharacterized. The record is from RefSeq and is a predicted model, not a curated record. The transcript has 3 exons. Lineage: Eukaryota; Metazoa; Chordata; Actinopteri; Batrachoidiformes; Batrachoididae.
UGCUGUUCAUAAAAACAAGGUAAAAAAGACUAUACAAAAAAUAAAUACAAAAGUUAUAUUAAGUUUCUGUUACUUGUUUACAGCACUGAUGGCUGCUGGUACAAAACUGUUUUUGUAGCGUUUAGUUUUACAAGCUGGUACCCUGAACCUCCGACCUGAGGGGAGCAGCUGAAACUCACUAUAAAGAGGGUGGGAACAGAUAAGUAGAAGUUU